GCGGGUGUGACGCAGUGGUAGCGUAUCAGCUUCCCAAGCUGAAUGUCGUGGGUUCGACCCCCAUCACCCGCUCCA
RNAcentral lists this transfer RNA (75 nucleotides) under Planctomycetota bacterium. Its description in RNAcentral is "tRNA-Gly". It matches the Rfam family "tRNA". Rfam says of the family: Transfer RNA (tRNA) molecules are approximately 80 nucleotides in length. Their secondary structure includes four short double-helical elements and three loops (D, anti-codon, and T loops). Further hydrogen bonds mediate the characteristic L-shaped molecular structure. tRNAs have two regions of fundamental functional importance: the anti-codon, which is responsible for specific mRNA codon recognition, and the 3' end, to which the tRNAs corresponding amino acid is attached (by aminoacyl-tRNA synthetases). tRNAs cope with the degeneracy of the genetic code in two manners: having more than one tRNA (with a specific anti-codon) for a particular amino acid; and 'wobble' base-pairing, i.e. permitting non-standard base-pairing at the 3rd anti-codon position. The record is from RNAcentral. Lineage: Bacteria; Pseudomonadati; Planctomycetota.